UCUUUAAUAAACAACCAACGGCGAGAAACAACCGAUCAAAUCAUUACAUUAUUCUAAAUUUCAAAUCACUGAUCUGAUUGGAAACCCAUUAGACUAGAACUACCUGUAUCACUGAUGCUGCUGAGAUCUUUACAAAUCCUGACAAACUCAGAUGAAGGCAUCCGAACAAUGCGCUUUUUUGGAGCUUCUUGGAAAAAGUGCGUCUCGGGUAACAUAAGGCGCCAGCACUUGCGCCUUAGUGCACCUCAGGCGUGCUUUUUAAUACCAUGGUCCGAACCUAAAAAUAAGCUUGUGCAGUAAACGAGCCUGAACCCGAGUUCAAUUAUCGAGCUCGCAAGCCUAAAGGAAUCUAUUAUUUGUGUUAUUUGUAUUUAAUAUAUUAAUUAUUAAUUAAUAAACGAGCCGAGCUCGAGCUUUGAAAACUUUGUUUUAACAUAUCUGGCUAGACGGUGUGGGCUUCGUCCCACCCCGUCGUGGCCCGGCGCCGCUCGGCCACCCAUUUCUCCCCUCCCCGUUGUCGUCGUGGAGCCUAGGACAAUUGAGACACUCCACAAAAGACAAAAACCGUUCGAAUCGCACGAUUAUUCGUAAUCUAUCUUCGUUCCUUGUAACCUAGGGUUUGUAAUUUGUUGAUUUCAGAAAAUUAGGUUUAAUCUUCGUUUUUCGUCAGCGAAUUUGUAUUUUUAGAGGUUGAAUUCGAGGUAUAUACGAUUAAGCCUCUGUUUUGUUCGAUCGAUUGUGUUUCUAGGGUUUGAAUUUUGCAAUCGAGAUGCUGGAUCAGUCACAGAUGAUGAAUCAUUCGCAGUUGAUGAGUCAAUCACAUUCACAGCAGAUGAUGUUAAUGAAGUGGUCAAGCUUCAGCGGUGGUUCCCCGUGUCAUUGAGCAGGAAAUGGUCCGGAGUAGGGAAAUUUACUGGAAAGCUCAUUAUAAAGUUCAUUAUCGGUUACGCACCUGUAUGGCAUGAAAAGGAGUAUUACCUUGGAUGUGUCUGUGACGAGCUCUACGCCCCUCCAAGUGCCUACUUUUCAUUGUAUGUUUUUUUUCUAGAGGAGCAUCGUUUUAUGCAGGUAAGUUGAAAUGUUACAUUUUGGAUCAACCUUUACUACUAUAUCUUUCAGCGCGAUAUGGUUGAUUACAUCUAACGAAGUGGUGUGCGUAAAGGUGUAUUUGAGAAAAUAGGUGUGGAACCACAGGCGUGGAGGAUUGGUAAAUAUAAGAGUUUCGGUGAUCAGUUUACUCGCAAUAAUAUAUCUAAAGAAAAUCGUGAGGUUCUUACUACAAUUCUUGAUAAUAUAUAUGAAAAUUGGGUCGAUAAGAUUUCUCAAGCCAAAGGAAAGAAAAAGGAAGAAAUCGAGAGUUUUAUUAACGAAGGAGUUUACCAAAUAGAUAAGUUGAAAGAAGAUGGAUGGAUAACAGAUAUCAACAAAUAUGAUGAUGAGGCUAAAUCUAUGUUGAAAACAAGAUUGUGCAUUGCUAAGAAGAAAAAACUUCCACUUAUUGAUUACAAGUGAAUAUCUCCUUAUGUAGUCUUUUAUUUUGACGAAGUUUGUUGCAGUUAAGUUCAAUAUGAGAAACUAUAUGAAAAUGAUGCAGGUGGUUUGAAGUUGUAGCAAAAUAUUUACCAAUUAUCAUAGUCUUUGUUUUGUAUUGUA
This is a long non-coding RNA of Helianthus annuus (common sunflower), 1653 nucleotides long. RefSeq lists it as uncharacterized. The transcript has 4 exons. NCBI's taxonomy places the organism in Eukaryota, Viridiplantae, Streptophyta, Magnoliopsida, Asterales, Asteraceae. The record is from RefSeq and is a predicted model, not a curated record.